AGUGCUGGGAUUACAGGCAUGAGCCACCGCGCCCAGCAGCUCUAUGCAUUUCUGAGUGUGAAUCCCAUUGCUUUAUGAUUGUGUUCUGGUUUUUGUUUUACCACUAGAUUGUGAUUUUCCUACCAGGUCUCAUUCAUUCUUCUGACUCCAAUGCCUAUCACAAAGCCUGGCACAGAGAAGAUAAGAGCAAAUAUCUGCGAUUGAAUGAGUAAAUGAUGAAUGAAAAGUGAAGACGGGAGAUGAGAGAGAGAUGGGGUUUUGCCAUGUUCCCGAGGCUGGUCUCCAACUCCUGAGCCCAAGCAAUCCACCCACCUCGACCUUCUAAAGUGCUGGGAUUACAGCGUGAGCCACCACACCAGCCAAUAAGGCCAAAUCUUAGCUCCUGAGAAGUUCACAGCCAGAGUGGGGAGACUGACUAAACAAAUGACCAUGGUGAAUUUCAUAACUUCAGAUGAGAAAGGUAUAAAGGAAGAGCUUUGGAAGGAGAGAGCUGCCCCUUCCUCCAGGGGCUCACUCACCUGUGGGCUCUGUAGACACCCUCUGAAAAGCAGUUUCUCAGCACAGUGAGCUUGAAGUCGUCUCCAUUCACACCUGGAGCACUGCCCUGUAUUGCAAAUGGGAGAGUAAAGUUGGUGUAAAUUUUAUGGAGGGCAAUUUGGCAAAACUAACAAAAUUUCGCCACCAUUUUCUGUUCUAGGACUGCUUCUUUCCUUGCAUGUGUAUAAAUUACAUUUGUAUAAGGUGUUGCAUGGCAGCACUGUUGGUAAUAACUAAGACUGGAAGUAACCUCUGUGCUCAACAUAAAUAACAAUGAUGGUGCAACUGCAUAAAGAAAUACUAUGUGACUAUAAAAAAAAAGAGGAACCUCUUUAGGUACUGAUCUGGAUCAUUCCAAGAUAUCCUGAUACAUGAAAAAGCAUGUAUCUGAACCCUGUUAUAUUAAUAAUAUGCUGCAUUUUGUAGGAAAAAAAGGAAAAAAGUAUAUAUAUGCAUACACACUCAUAUAAUUUGUAUAUGUAUAAACUAGCUCUGGAAGGAAACAAAAGAAACCAAUAGAUCCUCUGGGGAAGGGAACUGGGUGUCCCAGAGUGGGAAACUCCACUGUGUAUUCUUUUUACCAUUGGAAUUUUGAGCUUAUUAUGUUUUGUUUAUUUAUUUAUGUAUUUAUUAUUUUUUGAGACGGAGUCUCGCUCUGUUGCCUAGGCUGGAGUAUAGUGGCGCGAUCUUGGCUCAUUGCAACCUCCGCCUCCUGGGUUCAAGUGAUUCUUAUGCCUCAGCCUCCCAAGUAGCUGGGAUUAUAGGUGCCGGCUAAUUUUUCUAUUUUUAGUAGAGACAGGGUUUCACCAUGUUGCACAGGCUGGGAUUACAGGCAUGCGCCACCACAUCCUGCUAAUUUUUGUAUUCUUAGUAGAGACAGGGUUUCCCCAUGUUGGCCAGGCUGGUCUCAAACUCCUAACUUCAAGUGAUCCGCCCACCUCGGCCUCCCAAAGUGCUGAGAUUACAGGUGCGAGCCACUGUGCCUGGCCUGAUUUUUUAAAGAGCUCCCUCCCCCAGUCUCCCUAGCUGAGAUUGUGGGGUGAGGGCAAUUUGCAUCUCAGGGAAGGUAUGCUGGUCUCAUUUCAUCUCAAUGAUCCUUUAUCUCCUCCACCAGAAAUCCCAUCUUUGGUCGUUUCUUUCUUCACAUUGACUUGGCAUAAACUUUUACUGUUAUCAACAGCUGCUUAGCCUAAUAUUAGCUUUCAUUUUCUUUCUCCUUCCCACAGAAGGCUUUGUGCUUUCUCGAACUCCUGGUUUGGUCAGGGUAAGUUUCUGGAUUUCAGUCUUGGCUCUAGCGGCUGGCAGCUGUGUGGACACUCCACCAUCUCAGUCUUUAUUGCUUGACAAUUGUAGCUGCUUUCGGCAAAGUUUGUUAAGCUCAGGGCCUGUUCCAAUUGUCAGCUCUUCCUUCUCUGGUGGGGAAAGUCCCCUUUAAACCACGUGCUUAAAACUGAAACCUGCAGGCCAUCACCAAGGGGGGGUCUCCACACCCAUCUCAGCUCCACCAACUGCAGGCUCCCAAGUACCUCUUACACCCUCGCUGAUGACCUCCCUUGGAGGAAGUUCAAGGCCAA
This is a long non-coding RNA of Symphalangus syndactylus (siamang), 2111 nucleotides long. RefSeq lists it as uncharacterized. The record is from RefSeq and is a predicted model, not a curated record. Lineage: Eukaryota; Metazoa; Chordata; Mammalia; Primates; Hylobatidae.